GACCUUACCCAUUCAUACACCGAGCAUUGAUAUAGGUGAUGAUUGUGGUCAUCCCAAGGUCGUGCGUAGAUUUGGUAAUCCACAAGGCUUUCAAACAAUUAUAGGUUCGGUAUUAUGUUCGUACCUAUGGGCUAUUAGCUCAGGUGGUUAGAGCGCACCCCUGAUAAGGGUGAGGUCCCUGGUUCGAGUCCAGGAUGGCCCACCUGAAAAGAGUUAGGAGUUAAGAGUUAAGAGUUAAGAGUAAAAAAGAAUUCAUAACUCAUAACUCAUCACUCAUAACUAAUAUUAAGGGGGUAUAGCUCAGUUGGUAGAGCGCUGCCUUUGCAAGGCAGAUGUCAGCGGUUCGAGUCCGCUUACCUCCACCAAAAUUAUUAAAUAAUAUUGGAAAAUUUCAGCACCCAGACUUUUAUAGUAAGUAAAAAAGUUGGAAUGCUGGAUUGUUAUCCAGUCAGAACCUUGAAAACUGCAUAUUCACGCGAUAGAUAAUUGUUGUAGGUAGUACUUAAUAGGUAGUAAAUCUAUGAAUUAAGUGUGAAUCCAACGAAUCCUAUUUUGUAAAAUUUGAUUGUAUGGAAUCAAUGU
Molecule: transfer RNA, 582 nt
Filed under: Kyrtuthrix huatulcensis C708-K87-M11
Lineage: Bacteria; Bacillati; Cyanobacteriota; Cyanophyceae; Nostocales; Rivulariaceae
Description: partial 16S-23S ribosomal RNA intergenic spacer
Rfam family: tRNA (bases 290-362)
Source: RNAcentral